GGCCAGAUGGUCGAGUGGUAAGGCAGAGGUCUGCAAAACCUUUUACAGCGGUUCAAAUCCGCUUCUGGCCU
Molecule: transfer RNA, 71 nt
Filed under: Mucilaginibacter sp. PPCGB 2223
Lineage: Bacteria; Pseudomonadati; Bacteroidota; Sphingobacteriia; Sphingobacteriales; Sphingobacteriaceae
Rfam family: tRNA
About the family: Transfer RNA (tRNA) molecules are approximately 80 nucleotides in length. Their secondary structure includes four short double-helical elements and three loops (D, anti-codon, and T loops). Further hydrogen bonds mediate the characteristic L-shaped molecular structure. tRNAs have two regions of fundamental functional importance: the anti-codon, which is responsible for specific mRNA codon recognition, and the 3' end, to which the tRNAs corresponding amino acid is attached (by aminoacyl-tRNA synthetases). tRNAs cope with the degeneracy of the genetic code in two manners: having more than one tRNA (with a specific anti-codon) for a particular amino acid; and 'wobble' base-pairing, i.e. permitting non-standard base-pairing at the 3rd anti-codon position.
Source: Rfam by way of RNAcentral